Camelina sativa (false flax) is the source of this 131-nucleotide non-coding RNA. NCBI's taxonomy places the organism in Eukaryota, Viridiplantae, Streptophyta, Magnoliopsida, Brassicales, Brassicaceae. The record is from RefSeq and is a predicted model, not a curated record.
UUUCCAGUUCUUUAACAUUCAGCGAUUGACCGAGCUGUAUGAAAAGGAAGUGCGUUACCUUAUGCAAACACAUCAGAAAACUCAGACGAAAGACACAAUUGAAGUUGAUGAACCUGAAGAAGUUGGAGAUC